GUCAUGAUUAUAGAAAGAGGUCUGCCUGCCUUGCCGUUUGGAGUCUCUCAGCCUUCUUGGCCCAAGAUGUGACCUUCAGCCACUGCUGAUCCUCGGUCCCUCACCCCGCUCACGGAGGUCAUUAAGGCUCCCUGCCAGCGAUUCCUGGUCCGACCAGCCUGACUGCCCAGGAGCCUGGCUCUUCCUACCCCUGGGCUUGGCCAGGGGCUGUGUGAUGACUUCUUUCCAAUGAAGCGUAGGGCCUCUAAGGAGGUAAUCAGAGUUACAUGAGGUCAUAAAGGUGGUCCCUGAUCCCACGGGACUGCUGUUCCUAUAAGCAAGAGACCCAGGCUAUGCGAGGACACAGCAAGAAGGUGGCCAUCUACAAGCCGAGGAGAAGGUCUCACCAGGAACCAGCCCCACUGGCACCUUGAUCUUGGACUUCCAGCCUCUGGAACCGUGAGAAAAUAAAUCAUUUAAGCUGC
This is a long non-coding RNA of Neogale vison (American mink), 464 nucleotides long. RefSeq lists it as uncharacterized. The record is from RefSeq and is a predicted model, not a curated record. Lineage: Eukaryota; Metazoa; Chordata; Mammalia; Carnivora; Mustelidae. The transcript has 3 exons.